GUGAUCUAUGCCUAAGGUAGAAAAGCCUUAGUAUUUAAAAAAAAAUCCAAAUGUUGUAAACAGUAAAUUUAUAAAUAUAACCAUAUCAAUGACAAUUCAUGUCAGAACAAAAAUUGCCGACUACUGGGCUUGUGAUACCCUCGGGGAAAUAAAUCUCCACCAGCAGUGGCAUCGACCCAGUGGUUGUAAAUAAACUCAUCAUAGAUACCAGGAC
This 214-nucleotide long non-coding RNA is filed under the name Mytilus galloprovincialis (Mediterranean mussel). The record is from RNAcentral. Lineage: Eukaryota; Metazoa; Mollusca; Bivalvia; Mytilida; Mytilidae.